RNAcentral lists this ribosomal RNA (314 nucleotides) under uncultured eukaryote. Its description in RNAcentral is "partial 18S ribosomal RNA". It matches the Rfam family "Eukaryotic small subunit ribosomal RNA", at positions 1470 to 1796 of the family's 1831-position model. The record is from RNAcentral.
CCCUUAGACGUUCUGGGCCGCACGCGCGCUACACUGACCAGUGCAACAAGCAUCCGUCCUUGGCCGACAGGCUCGGGCAAUCUUUGAACGCUGGUCGUGAUGGGGAUAGACUUUUGCAAUUUUUGGUCUUCAACGAGGAAUUCCUAGUAACGCAAGUCAUCAACUUGCAUUGAUUACGUCCCUGCCCUUUGUACACACCGCCCGUCGCACCUACCGAUUGAAUGGUCCGGUGAAGCCUCCGGAUUGGCGCGCACCUCGGUGCCGCCGAGAAGUUGGCUAAACCUUACCAUUUAGAGGAAGGUGAAGUCGUAACA